Molecule: long non-coding RNA, 1241 nt
Filed under: Eucalyptus grandis
Lineage: Eukaryota; Viridiplantae; Streptophyta; Magnoliopsida; Myrtales; Myrtaceae
Description: long non-coding RNA (EGRA_LNC005467)
Source: RNAcentral
AGAAAGGGGGGAAAUCACGUUGGGAAGUGAGGGGCUAGGGUUUUUUUUUUUUUAAAUUUUUUUUGACAGGUUCCAGUUCCGGUUCCCAAAAAAAGGGAACCGGGAAUUGGAACUGGUCUCUUUAGAAUCGGGAACCGAACUGGACCCUCCGGUGCAGUUCUCCGGUUCCCGGUUCUACGCGAGAACCAUGCUCACCCCUACUGCAGAUUGCUAUUUUUCCUCCACAGAUUAGUUCCACCCUAUCUUCAAUGGGAGGGCCAAGCCUUCUCUCACUGCUAGGGUUUCAGGUACAAGGGCUGUCGGAACAUGGAUUUUCUUGUUGAAGCCGUCCACGAGAGCUCGUGAGCAUCUCUACACACCCUAAUUAUUGAACCCACUCAAGAGUGAAUGUUGUGCACUGAGGCAGCAAAGAACUUCUCAUUAAUCGCAUGCAUAAUUGCUUUGACCAAUCACCUUGUGCCAAGUGUUCAUGAGUGUUUCUUAUCUUCUUACAAAUACUAACACUCUCAUUAUUCGCAUGGAUAAUUGCUUUGACAUUGUUGAGUUUUACUUCUGAUGGUGGCCACACCAACAAAUGCCACAUCCAUUGCAAUGAUACUUGUUGUAACAUAUUAUCACAUAAGCUAUCAGGAAAUUAAUGCGAAAUUAUAAGAGAAAUAAACGAGAAACAAUAAAAGACUCAAAGAUUUAUGUGGUUCAGUACCGAGUGUCGGUACCUACAUCCACAGAGAGAGCCGACAUUAAAUAAUUCACUAAUAAUUAGGAAAUCUAAGUUUAUAAUUGUUUACACGCUUGAAUGUUCCCUACUUCUAGAUUAAACCCAAGUCUAAAGUGUUUGUAAAUAAACAACUCAAAUGGAUAUAAUACUUACAGCACAAAUCCACAGUGUGUAUAGCUCCCGUUCACGGCCAAGCAAAGAGCGCCGCACUCUCUGAUUCUUCCUUUUGUCCUUCGUGUGGGGUUACCUAGGAAAUCACGGUGUGACCAUUGGACUCUCUUUCUUCUCGUGCAGCUACACUUUGCUAAAGGAACCCACUCCACGCUCUUCAAAGAAAGAAGCCACUAGCGGCCAUUCACACAAUGAGGAACCCAAUUUGUCUUGCAGUGGCAGAGGACUCCUUUCCUCUCAUUCUUCCAACCUUCGGCAAAGGUGAGUCCAACUCUUCAAUUUUAUUGUGCUGUCAAACUUGGAUAUUUAUUCAAUUGGGUUGUGUUGCGUAAAUGGUUCAGACUCGAGACAU